UGGGGAAUAUUGGGCAAUGGGCGCAAGCCUGAUCCAGCCAUGCCGCGUGAGUGACGAAGGUCUUCGGAUUGUAAAGCUCUUUUAGCAGGGAAGAUAAUGACGGUACCUGCAGAAUAAGCCCCGGCUAACUUCGUGCCAGCAGCCGCGGUAAUACGAAGGGGGCUAGCGUUGUUCGGAAUUACUGGGCGUAAAGCGCACGUAGGCGGAUUGAUAAGUUAGAGGUGAAAUCCCGGGGCUCAACCUCGGAACUGCCUUUGAUACUGUUAGUCUCGAGUCCGAUAGAGGUGAGUGGAAUUCCUAGUGUAGAGGUGAAAUUCGUAGAUAUUAGGAAGAACACCAGUGGCGAAGGCGGCUCACUGGAUCGGUACUGACGCUGAGGUGCGAAAGCGUGGGGAGCAAACAGGAUUAGAUACCCCCGUAGUCCCUGAGCGGGCUGGCAAGGCGCAU
This 447-nucleotide ribosomal RNA is filed under the name uncultured bacterium. RNAcentral describes it as "bacterial SSU rRNA". It matches the Rfam family "Bacterial small subunit ribosomal RNA", at positions 355 to 825 of the family's 1533-position model. The record is from RNAcentral.